CAACUGGGCAGAGGGAUCCUCCUCCUCUCAUCACUGUUAGGUGCAGCUUUCAUAUAAACAUUCCAAAGUACCACCUGAGAUGUGUAUCUGUGUCCUAUUACCAACUAGGAGGAAGAGCUGCAGAGUGGAAGUGACUUGCUUAUGGGCUUCCAAACAGGAACCAGUUCUGCCAUAGAAUCAACCAGAAGUGAUCUUCCUGCUCUAGAUUCAUGUGAUGGUUUGGGUGUUUCCCCC
Long non-coding RNA from Pogoniulus pusillus (Red-fronted tinkerbird), 234 nucleotides. RefSeq lists it as uncharacterized. The transcript is spliced from 2 exons. The record is from RefSeq and is a predicted model, not a curated record. NCBI's taxonomy places the organism in Eukaryota, Metazoa, Chordata, Aves, Piciformes, Lybiidae.